GGGGGUGCACCGGUUUCGACGGGGUCGAUGAGGCGCACACUGCGAGCAGAGGAUUCUCGUUGGCCUCUAUAAAAACGAGAAAUUUAAAAUUAAACGCUAACGAUAACGUAGCACUCCAGGCUGCCUAAGCGCGCCUGCGUUCCCCACAGGGUCACCCGGGCCUUGUUGGUGUGAGCGUCAGUAAUCCGGGCCUUGCGCAGGGGCAGGUAAAAUGCGCCAACGCGAAAGUCAAAGCUUUGCGGCUUUCGUGUAUUCAUGAAGCUACUUUUCGGAAAACUCCGUUUGUUGAGGUUUUCGGAAGGGAACUUUAAAUAGCAAACUACGCUCGUAGACGUGGGCGAGGAAUCGGUUUCGGACGUGGGUUCGACUCCCUCCACCUCCACCA
Molecule: transfer-messenger RNA, 385 nt
Filed under: bovine gut metagenome
Rfam family: transfer-messenger RNA
About the family: Bacterial tmRNA, also known as 10Sa RNA or SsrA, is named for its dual tRNA and mRNA-like properties. Its role is to liberate the mRNA from a stalled ribosome.
Source: RNAcentral